This 449-nucleotide ribosomal RNA is filed under the name Fusobacterium sp. oral taxon 370. RNAcentral describes it as "bacterial SSU rRNA". It matches the Rfam family "Bacterial small subunit ribosomal RNA", at positions 28 to 489 of the family's 1533-position model. The record is from RNAcentral. Lineage: Bacteria; Fusobacteriati; Fusobacteriota; Fusobacteriia; Fusobacteriales; Fusobacteriaceae.
GAUGAACGCUGACAGAAUGCUUAACACAUGCAAGUCUACUUGAAUUUGGGUCUUUGACUUAGAUUUGGGUGGCGGACGGGUGAGUAACGCGUAAAGAACUUGCCUCACAGUUAGGGACAACAUUUGGAAACGAAUGCUAAUACCUGAUAUUAUGAUUAUACGGCAUCGUAUAAUUAUGAAAGCUAUAUGCGCUGUGAGAGAGCUUUGCGUCCCAUUAGCUAGUUGGAGAGGUAACGGCUCACCAAGGCGAUGAUGGGUAGCCGGCCUGAGAGGGUGAACGGCCACAAGGAGACUGAGACACGGCCCUUACUCCUACGGGAGGCAGCAGUGGGGAAUAUUGGACAAUGGACCAAAAGUCUGAUCCAGCAAUUCUGUGUGCACGAUGACGUUUUUCGGAAUGUAAAGUGCUUUCAGUUGGGAAGAAAAAAAUGACGGUACCAACAGAAGAA